GGGGGUUUAGCUCAGCGGCACAGCACCUGUCUGGCAUGCGCAAGGUCUUGAGUUCUAGUCUCAAUACCCUCC
Molecule: transfer RNA, 72 nt
Filed under: Cavia porcellus (domestic guinea pig)
Lineage: Eukaryota; Metazoa; Chordata; Mammalia; Rodentia; Caviidae
Rfam family: tRNA
About the family: Transfer RNA (tRNA) molecules are approximately 80 nucleotides in length. Their secondary structure includes four short double-helical elements and three loops (D, anti-codon, and T loops).
Source: Rfam by way of RNAcentral